Molecule: long non-coding RNA, 567 nt
Filed under: Rattus norvegicus (Norway rat)
Lineage: Eukaryota; Metazoa; Chordata; Mammalia; Rodentia; Muridae
Description: long non-coding RNA NONRATT026132
Source: RNAcentral
CAUGCUAAAUUCCAACAUGAGUCACUGGAAUUAAAUUUGCUAAGUCAAGCUCACCACAAUUAUCAUCUCAAGUAAAUAAUAUUAACUAAAAUGUACAGAUAACCUCAGACUGAGAGACACACCAUUAAAUUAAAUAUUAUAUAAUUUAUAAUUUAGCAAUGUAAAGAAAUUACAUUGCUAAUUACUUUUUUUCUACCUUGGUCAGCACAGAUGCUCAAGUUCAGUAUUUGGGAACUGCAUCUUAAUUACAGAUGAACUCAAGAUGUAUCACAGUUAACUAUGUGCUUGGUGGUUUUAUUAGCCUCGCUCACAGGAAUAAACCUUUUUUCAAGUUCUAGGACUACCUUCUUUCAUUUUUUCUUAGUGACCGAAAUAGUGAUUUCAUUGAGUCACACUUUAAAAAAAAUUUUUGAAGGAAAUUACAAACCACAGAUGGGACUCUGUAGAAUAGUGACUGCCCAGAGUACACAGUCCUCAGUGCCACAAAAGCAGUGCUAUAAUUUUUUAAAAAUUACUUUGUUCUGUCCAAAUAAACAGAUAAUAGCGAGCAGAUAACUAUUAACAUUU